This 74-nucleotide transfer RNA is filed under the name Plantactinospora alkalitolerans. Its description in RNAcentral is "Plantactinospora sp. S1510 tRNA-Lys". It matches the Rfam family "tRNA". From Rfam's summary of the family: Transfer RNA (tRNA) molecules are approximately 80 nucleotides in length. Their secondary structure includes four short double-helical elements and three loops (D, anti-codon, and T loops). Further hydrogen bonds mediate the characteristic L-shaped molecular structure. tRNAs have two regions of fundamental functional importance: the anti-codon, which is responsible for specific mRNA codon recognition, and the 3' end, to which the tRNAs corresponding amino acid is attached (by aminoacyl-tRNA synthetases). tRNAs cope with the degeneracy of the genetic code in two manners: having more than one tRNA (with a specific anti-codon) for a particular amino acid; and 'wobble' base-pairing, i.e. permitting non-standard base-pairing at the 3rd anti-codon position. The record is from RNAcentral. Lineage: Bacteria; Bacillati; Actinomycetota; Actinomycetes; Micromonosporales; Micromonosporaceae.
GGGUCGUUAGCUCAAUGGCGUAGAGCAGUGGACUUUUACUCCACGGGUUCUCGGUUCGAGUCCGAGGCGACCCA